This 425-nucleotide ribosomal RNA is filed under the name uncultured bacterium. RNAcentral's name for it is "bacterial SSU rRNA". It matches the Rfam family "Bacterial small subunit ribosomal RNA", at positions 355 to 775 of the family's 1533-position model. The record is from RNAcentral.
UCGAGAAUCUUCGGCAAUGGGCGCAAGCCUGACCGAGCGACGCCGCGUGCGGGAUGAAGGCCCUCGGGUUGUAAACCGCUGUCGGAGGGGAGGAAAUGCCAAGGGGUUCUCUUCUUGGUUUGACCUAUCCUCAAAGGAAGUACGGGCUAAGUUCGUGCCAGCAGCCGCGGUAAGACGAACCGUACAAACGUUAUUCGGAAUUACUGGGCUUAAAGGGUGCGUAGGCGGCCCUGAAAGUUGGGUGUGAAAUACCUCGGCUCAACCGAGGAAUUGCGCUCAAAACUACCGGGCUUGAGGAAGAUAGAGGUGAGCGGAACUUAGGGUGGAGCGGUGAAAUGCGUUGAUAUCCUAAGGAACACCGGUAGCGAAAGCGGCUCACUGGGUCUUUUCUGACGCUGAGGCACGAAAGCUAGGGGAGCGAAGAG